RNAcentral lists this unclassified non-coding RNA (228 nucleotides) under fungal sp. RNAcentral describes it as "partial internal transcribed spacer region". The stretch from base 1 to 46 matches the Rfam family "Eukaryotic small subunit ribosomal RNA", at positions 1786 to 1831 of the family's 1831-position model. Lineage: Eukaryota; Fungi. The record is from RNAcentral.
AAGUCGUAACAAGGUUUCCGUAGGUGAACCUGCGGAAGGAUCAUUACCAAAUAUAUCAAUUUACUCAACCCAAUGUGCACGAUGAAUGAACUGUCUUGGUUUUUGGGGUGGGCAUUAUAACUGUUCACCCCAACCAUUUUGUUUAACAACUUUAUCACACUUUUCAUGGCAUUUGUACAUUUUGUCUAAUUAACGACAACUUUUAACGGUGGAUCUCUUGGCUCGUGG